This 220-nucleotide long non-coding RNA is filed under the name Vitis vinifera (wine grape). RNAcentral's name for it is "long non-coding RNA (VVIN_LNC006155)". Lineage: Eukaryota; Viridiplantae; Streptophyta; Magnoliopsida; Vitales; Vitaceae. The record is from RNAcentral.
ACGAAGAAGGAUUGAUGUCUUGCUAGAUAUAAGUCUUCAUGACAUCUGGGAAAGAACCGAAACGGAGAUGUGGUAUUUUCGAUGAGCACCACGGAAAUGGGUUUCGGUGAAGCUGUUUAUGGUGUGCAGUUGAAGAGGACGACAUGUUGGUUGCCGUCAACAGUGUGGAAAGAGGUGUUCGGAACUGAGGUAGUAGCUUUGAGCCUGAAGACAACUCCGG